This 506-nucleotide ribosomal RNA is filed under the name uncultured bacterium. RNAcentral describes it as "partial 16S ribosomal RNA". It matches the Rfam family "Bacterial small subunit ribosomal RNA", at positions 28 to 523 of the family's 1533-position model. The record is from RNAcentral.
GAUGAACGCUAGCUACAGGCUUAACACAUGCAAGUCGAGGGGUAACGAGAGGGAAGCUUGCUUUCCUUGUCGACGACCGGCGCACGGGUGAGUAACGCGUAUCCAACCUGCCCCCAACUAGGGAAUAACCUUGCGAAAGUAAGACUAAUACCCUAUAAUUUCCUCAGAUGCCAUCUGACGAGGAAUAAAGAUUUAUCGGUUGUGGAUGGGGAUGCGUCUGAUUAGCUUGUUGGCGGGGUAACGGCCCACCAAGGCAACGAUCAGUAGGGGUUCUGAGAGGAAGGUCCCCCACAUUGGAACUGAGACACGGUCCAAACUCCUACGGGAGGCAGCAGUGAGGAAUAUUGGUCAAUGGGCGGAAGCCUGAACCAGCCAAGUAGCGUGCAGGAUGGCGGCCCUAUGGGUUGUAAACUGCUUUUAUACAGGAAUAAAGUUAGCCACGUGUGGUUAUUUGUAGGUACUGUAUGAAUAAGGACCGGCUAAUUCCGUGCCAGCCGCCGCAGUAA